CCUUGAAAUACCACCCUGGUUCAUUUGAGGUUCUAACCUUGGCCCGUUAUCCGGGUCGGGGACAGUGCAUGGUAGGCAGUUUGACUGGGGCGGUCUCCUCCUAAAGUGUAACGGAGGAGUUCGAAGGUACGCUAGUUACGGUCGGACAUCGUGACGAUAGUGCAAUGGCAUAAGCGUGCUUAACUGCGAGACUGACAAGUCGAGCAGGUACGAAAGUAGGACAUAGUGAUCCGGUGGUUCUGUAUGGAAGGGCCAUCGCUCAACGGAUAAAAGGUACUCUGGGGAUAACAGGCUGAUUCCUCCCAAGAGUUCAUAUCGACGGGGGAGUUUGGCACCUCGAUGUCGGCUCAUCACAUCCUGGGGCUGUAGCCGGUCCCAAGGGUAUGGCUGUUCGCCAUUUAAAGUGGUACGUGAGCUGGGUUUAAAACGUCGUGAGACAGUUUGGUCCCUAUCUGCCGUGGGCGUUGGAAAUUUGAAGGGGGCUGCUCCUAGUACGAGAGGACCGGAGUGGACAGACCUCUGGUGUACCGGUUGUCACGCCAGUGGCAUUGCCGGGUAGCUAAGUCUGGAAGAGAUAACCGCUGAAAGCAUCUAAGCGGGAAACUUGCCUUAAGAUGAGAUUUCCCAGAGCCUUGAGCUCUUUGAAGGGUCGUUCGAGACCAGGACGUUGAUAGGUCAGGUGUGGAAGUGCAGUAAUGCAUUAAGCUAACUGAUACUAAUUGCCCGUACGGCUUGUCCCUAUAACCUUAGCAGGUUAU
Molecule: ribosomal RNA, 758 nt
Filed under: Duganella sp. BJB476
Lineage: Bacteria; Pseudomonadati; Pseudomonadota; Betaproteobacteria; Burkholderiales; Oxalobacteraceae
Also listed under: 1 other name
Description: bacterial LSU rRNA
Rfam family: Bacterial large subunit ribosomal RNA
Source: RNAcentral